GUGAAUCAUCGAAUUUUUGAACGCAUAUUGCACUCUCUGGUAUUCCGGAGAGUAUGCCUAUUUGAGGGUCAUUUGAAAUAAUUUAAAUUCCAAAAUUUUUCGGAUUUUAAAUUGGGUGGUCCAUUUUUUUUGGUCGCCUAAAAUCAAAAACAAGUCAAUUUCUUUGGUUUGCUUGUUACUUUAAUUUACUUCUUGA
RNAcentral lists this unclassified non-coding RNA (196 nucleotides) under Ambisporaceae sp. Its description in RNAcentral is "partial contains 5.8S ribosomal RNA and internal transcribed spacer 2". The stretch from base 1 to 71 matches the Rfam family "5.8S ribosomal RNA", at positions 84 to 154 of the family's 154-position model. The record is from RNAcentral. Lineage: Eukaryota; Fungi; Glomeromycota; Glomeromycetes; Archaeosporales; Ambisporaceae.